CCCUUAGAUGUUCUGGGCCGCACGCGCGCUACACUGAUGCAUUCAACGAGUUUCUUCCUGGUCCGAGAGGAAUGGGUAACCUUUUGAAAGUGCAUCGUGAUAGGGAUAGACUAUUGCAAUUAUUGGUCUUCAACGAGGAAUUCCUAGUAGACGUAGUUCAUCAGACUGCAUCGAUUACGUCCCUGCCCUUUGUACACACCGCCCGUCGCUCCUACCGAUUGAAUGCUCAGGUGAGCCAUUCGGACUUUCAUCAUGCUGGUUUCCAGUUUUGAUGAAGGAAAGUCUUGCGAACCUUAUCAUUUAGAAGAAGGAGAAGUCGUAACA
This 324-nucleotide ribosomal RNA is filed under the name uncultured eukaryote. RNAcentral's name for it is "partial 18S ribosomal RNA". It matches the Rfam family "Eukaryotic small subunit ribosomal RNA", at positions 1470 to 1796 of the family's 1831-position model. The record is from RNAcentral.